RNAcentral lists this ribosomal RNA (119 nucleotides) under Pteropus alecto (black flying fox). The record is from RNAcentral. Lineage: Eukaryota; Metazoa; Chordata; Mammalia; Chiroptera; Pteropodidae. RNAcentral also lists the same sequence under 1 other name.
GUGUACAGCCAUGCCACCCUGAACAAGCCCGAUUCCAUCUGAUCUUGGAAGCUAAGCAGGGCCGGGCCUGUUUAGUACUUGGAUGGGAGAUCACCUAGGAAGACCAGGUGCUGUAGGCA